RNAcentral lists this ribosomal RNA (253 nucleotides) under uncultured bacterium. Its description in RNAcentral is "partial 16S ribosomal RNA". It matches the Rfam family "Bacterial small subunit ribosomal RNA", at positions 524 to 776 of the family's 1533-position model. The record is from RNAcentral.
UACGUAGGUGGCAAGCGUUGUCCGGAUUUACUGGGCGUAAAGAGCGCGCAGGCGGCUGGUCAAGUCCGAUGUGAAAUCUCCCGGCUUAACUGGGAAACUGCAUCGGAAACUGAUCGGCUUGAAGGUGGGAGAGGGUAGUGGAAUUCCAGGUGUAGCGGUGAAAUGCGUAGAUAUCUGGAGGAACACCGGUGGCGAAGGCGGCAUCCUGGACCGGUAUUGACGCUGAGGCGCGAAAGCCAGGGGAGCAAACGGG